CGGGUGAGUAAUGCAUAGGAAUCUACCCAGCAGUGGGGAUACCUUGGAGAAAUUCAAGUUAAUACCGCAUAUGUCCUACGGGGCAAAGCAGGGGACCUUCGGGCCUUGCGCUAUUGGAUGAGCCUAUGUCGGAUUAGCUAGUUGGUAGGGUAAAAGCCUACCAAGGCAACGAUCCGUAGCUGGUUUGAGAGGAUGAUCAGCCACACUGGGACUGAGACACGGCCCAG
RNAcentral lists this ribosomal RNA (227 nucleotides) under uncultured bacterium. Its description in RNAcentral is "partial 16S ribosomal RNA". It matches the Rfam family "Bacterial small subunit ribosomal RNA", at positions 103 to 334 of the family's 1533-position model. The record is from RNAcentral.